AGCGGAAUUCGUGAGACCUUUUUUUUUUUUUUGUUUUCACCUGUGGCAGCUUUUCUCCAGUAAGAGUUAAUUGUGAAAGUGGAGCAGGUGCUUGGCUUUCAGGGACCCUGGUGGUGCCAAGUGUACAGGGUUCAGGGACACAGAACUGACUAGACCACAGGAGUUAUGACCCUAUCAGAGUCUUUUUUUGAGCUUCUUGUAGCUGGCGAUCAGAAGGCCUCUUUUGCCAGUCUUUCUCCCUAGUUCCACCCAUUGAGGCACUUAGAAGGCUUCGUUGCCUGGAAUCCUUCCCUGUUGUUCAAUGUGUCAGCACAUAGAGAUACCUCCCUGGCUGGGGUCCUACUCUGUAGAUCAGUGCAUCAGGCACUUAAAGAAGCAUCGUGAGUAGGGUUCGACUCUAGUUUUGUGCAUCAGGCACUUAAAGGAGCACCUGGGUGGUGUCCUGCUCUGUAUUUCAGUGUGUUCAGCAUUUGAUGGGUCAGCCUCACUAUUGUAGUAACUGCUGAUGCUAUCAUGUGGAGAGAGAGAGGCUAUGGUGAUUGCUCCACCCCCAUACAUGUGACUCAGUGAUAUUGCCUUGCUUCCUUGGCUGCCUGGCUUUCCUCCACAGGCAUAUCCUAGCACAGUUUCCUCCCUCACAGCCCCUCUCUCCAUCUCGCCACAGUAAACAGCAGCCUUCGCCCAGGAAUCGCUCCAGAAUCCCUCAAUUCCAGCUCCCAGCCACUGUGCCUUUCAGGGGACACAUAUCCUUGGCUGGGGUAUGUACAGCUGUAGCAAGGACUCACUGAUUCUCAUUACAUCUAGUUAUCCACAGAUCAGUUGUUUCACUCUCAGCUUUAAAUGUUUAUUCUAUGAUUCAGACAAGCCCCCCAAUAUGGGAUUAGACCCCGGUCUCACGAAUUCCGCUC
This 908-nucleotide small RNA is filed under the name Bos taurus (domestic cattle). The record is from RNAcentral. Lineage: Eukaryota; Metazoa; Chordata; Mammalia; Artiodactyla; Bovidae.